UGCAGUCGGGCGGUAACACAGAGGAGCUUGCUCCUUGGGUGACGAGCGGCGGACGGGUGAGUAAAGUCUGGGGAUCUGCCUGAUGGAGGGGGAUAACUACUGGAAACGGUAGCUAAUACCGCAUGACGUCUUCGGACCAAAGUGGGGGACCUUCGGGCCUCACGCCAUGAGAUGAACCCAGAUGGGAUUAGCUGGUAGGUGAGGUAACGGCUCACCUAGGCGACGAUCCCUAGCUGGUCUGAGAGGAUGACCAGCCACACUGGAACUGAGACACGGUCCAGACUCCUACGGGAGGCAGCAGUGGGGAAUAUUGCACAAUGGGGGAAACCCUGAUGCAGCCAUGCCGCGUGUGUGAAGAAGGCCUUCGGGUUGUAAAGCACUUUCAGCGGGGAGGAAGGCAAUAAACUUAAUAAGUUUGUUGAUUGACGUUACCCGCAGAAGAAGCACCGGCUAACUCCGUGCCAGCAGCCGCGGUAAUACGGAGGGUGCAAGCGUUAAUCGGAAUGACUGGGCGUAAAGCGCACGCAGGCGGUCUGUUAAGUUGGAUGUGAAAUCCCCGGGCUCAACCCGGGAACAGCAUUCAAAACUGACAGGCUAGAGUCUCGUAGAGGGGGGUAGAAUUCCAGGUGUAGCGGUGAAAUGCGUAGAGAUCUGGAGGAAUACCGGUGGCGAAGGCGGCCCCCUGGACGAAGACUGACGCUCAGGUGCGAAAGCGUGGGGAGCAAACAGGAUUAGAUACCUGGUAGUCCACGCCGUAAACGAUGUCGACUUGGAGGCUGUGGUCUUGAACCGUGGCUUCCGGAGCUAACGCGUUAAGUCGACCGCCUGGGGAGUACGGCCGCAAGGUUAAAACUCAAAUGAAUUGACGGGGGCCCGCACAAGCGGUGGAGCAUGUGGUUUAAUUCGAUGCAACGCGAAGAACCUUACCUACUCUUGACAUCCAGAGAAGACUGUAGAGAUACGGUUGUGCCUUCGGGAGCUCUGAGACAGGUGCUGCAUGGCUGUCGUCAGCUCGUGUUGUGAAAUGUUGGGUUAAGUCCCGCAACGAGCGCAACCCUUAUCCUUUGUUGCCAGCGAUACGGUCGGGAACUCAAAGGAGACUGCCGGUGAUAAACCGGAGGAAGGUGGGGAUGACGUCAAGUCAUCAUGGCCCUUACGAGUAGGGCUACACACGUGCUACAAUGGCGCAUACAAAGAGAAGCGAGCCUGCGAGGGUGAGCGGACCUCAUAAAGUGCGUCGUAGUCCGGAUUGGAGUCUGCAACUCGACUCCAUGAAGUCGGAAUCGCUAGUAAUCGUAGAUCAGAAUGCUACGGUGAAUACGUUCCCGGGCCUUGUACACACCGCCCGUCACACCAUGGGAGUGGGUUGCAAAAGAAGUAGGUAGC
Molecule: ribosomal RNA, 1386 nt
Filed under: Brenneria salicis
Lineage: Bacteria; Pseudomonadati; Pseudomonadota; Gammaproteobacteria; Enterobacterales; Pectobacteriaceae
Description: bacterial SSU rRNA
Rfam family: Bacterial small subunit ribosomal RNA
Source: RNAcentral